CUACGGGGGGCUGCAGUGGGGAAUAUUGGACAAUGGGGGAAACCCUGAUCCAGCAAUGCCGCGUGCGUGAAGAAGGCCUGCGGGUUGUAAAGCACUUUCGGUUGGGAGGACUGCUUCUAGCACUAAUAUUGUUGGAAGUUGACGUUACCUUCAGAAGAAGCAGCGGCUAACUCCGUGCCAGCAGCCGCGGUAAUACGGAGGGUGAAAGCGUUAAUCGGAAUUACUGGGCGUAAAGCGCGCGUAGGCGGCUAGAUCAGUCGGGUGUGAAAGCCCCGGGCUUAACCUGGGAACUGCAUCCGAUACUGUCUAGCUUGAGUACAGGAGAGGAGAGUGGAAUUCCACAUGUAGCGGUGACAUGCGUAGAUAUGUGGAGGAACACCAAUGGCGAAGGCAGCUCUCUGGCCUGAUACUGACGCUGAGGUGCGAAAGCGUGGGGAGCAAACAGGAUUAGAUACCCUCGUAGUC
RNAcentral lists this ribosomal RNA (465 nucleotides) under uncultured bacterium. RNAcentral's name for it is "partial 16S ribosomal RNA". It matches the Rfam family "Bacterial small subunit ribosomal RNA", at positions 339 to 795 of the family's 1533-position model. The record is from RNAcentral.